UGUGAAGCUAUGGAGCAGUGAUAAGACCAUCAAGAAACUCGCAGUUGUGAGCACGAUUGAUGCCGUAAAAAGGAAAGCUGUGGAAUUUGGAACGUGUCACAAUGAGGACAUGAAGGCUUGUAAAUGUCCAUCUACUUGAUGUAACAGAGGUUGAUGAAGAGGCUUUCGGCUGCUUGGCUGAAUCCAUUGAGAGUGGCACUCAUAUGUUCACUGUGUGCAAUGGUGACUGGAUUUCAGGCAAGUCUAUUCAAACAUCACUACUUUUACUGAAAAGGCACACAUGCUAAUUUUAGGUACACUUUGUAUACCAGAUGUUGUGGUGAUGCGGUGCCGUUGUGGUCUGUGUUGGUCUAAAGGAAUAGUUGAAGGCUAUGCUUCAUGCAUCGGCCAGGAUGUACUGGACGCCUUAGACAAAGGUUCAUCUCUUUGGCCACCAGAAAAACAGGUAGUGAGAAUGAUAGCAGCUGCAUGCCGAAAAGUGGAGGACCGACUUUCUGCGAAAAAAAAAUCAGGAACAUCGCAAACUGUGCUGUCAGCAAGUUCCCACAUUCACUUGGUGACCCUAACUCCAGCUCAAACUCGGUUUCCUCAGUGGUACUAGCCUAUAAGAUUGAAACAAGAAUUGAGAACACCCGCAGAUGCUGUAAGCAUCUCGCAGAGGCACUCUCUGGUAGCACAAAGACAAAAAAAACAAACCUCAAAUUCUUCGUAUGGCUUAAUUGAUUGGCAGCCUGCUACUGUCACAUUAACGCCUGAUGAGCUAGAAUUGUCAAAUAAAGUUUUUGCUGAGCAAGCAUCGAAAGCACCAUGUUAAGAGGGCAUCCCCCUCCAGAGAAAGGCAAUGGGGGAAUGCUACCCUGUGAUCAGAGCCCUUAUAAAUUCUUCAGAGCCAGUACACUCAGCCAAGGAAAUUAAAGAGAUGUGGCCAUUACUGUUUAAGAAGGAACAUCUUCUCGACCAUUUCCAAAGGUAUACGUUUCAUUGUUGAGCUAUUAGGGACUUUUAUUCAUAUUGUGUAAGUAUAGUAGUCUGAGCAGCAGAAAAAAGAAACGGAAAUGGUUGCCUAAAUUGAACAAAAGCCAAUUGUAAAAUUGAGGGGUAGUGAGUGAUUUCACCAUUAAUCUCUGAUUGUUGCAGUCUGAGCUUGAGAAUACACCAUUCUUAAUAGCUCUGCCCAUGUGAGUUCCAGGAGCAAAGUGGAAAUGACGAGCUGAGUGAGAAAACUUACAGGGCUGCGAUUAGACGGAAGGCUGAGCAACAUACCAAGAGCUGUAGUGCUACCGCUUACAUCGUUCUUACGCUCAAACACGGAGAAUGAUCCAGUGCUGGAGUGGAGUUUGACGAUAACGCAAGCAGAGACCAGUUUCGGUGACAAGGAUGCUGCAUCGGUCGGUCUUAGAUCUCUCGUGGUGUCCUACUUCAAAGAUGAUCUCAGCCAACUAGUUCAAGUACAUGAGGUCAGCCCAUCUUUCAAUGCACCUGCCAACUGUUUGUGGAUAGGAAGCUCGUAAUACCAAACAUCGGCUUGAAGCUGGCUAUUGAGUACCUGUUUGCUGCCCACUACUGCUUGAACAUCAAAUAUGCCGCAGGUGUAGGGGCAACCCUUCAGUUUCUUCAGAGAUACCUCGUCGGCAUAUUAGAAGAGGAGGGCACAUGCCAGCAAAUGAAAAGGAGCUCGAAAGUUUUGGCGGCGUGCGCAGAGAUUGCGUCAUUCAAAAAGAAAUGGAACUCUCUCUUCUGAUGGCCGAAGACAGGCUCGUGUUCUGGCUGAGGUUGAUGUUCUUUGAAUACACUAUUGAAAAUUG
Long non-coding RNA from Dermacentor silvarum, 1805 nucleotides. RefSeq lists it as uncharacterized. The transcript has 6 exons. The record is from RefSeq and is a predicted model, not a curated record. NCBI's taxonomy places the organism in Eukaryota, Metazoa, Arthropoda, Arachnida, Ixodida, Ixodidae.